GAACAGAAGCGGUUGGGGAGCUGUUCUGAUGGGGAGCUCAGGCUUGGCUUCAUUCCCAGAGGCUACCCCAGAUUCAGACCCCCGCGCUACUGUAGCCCCUCCCCGGCCAGUGGGGGGAGGGGAGGGAAGAGAGCUACUUGCCGCUAGGGGGGGCCCCCAGGGAGCCGCAGCCCUGCAAGGGGCGAGCAGAGAUUAGAGAUGAGCAGAGCCCCCGCCCCGCGCCCCCAAAGGUCGGGCGCUAAAUUUACCCCGGGCCCCGGCUCCGGUUACUCCGCGGCGCGGCAGGAGAAGGUCACAUUCCCCGGGCCCGGGGAGGACACGCGAUACCAGGGCGCCCUUCCCGGGGCGGAGGCAGGAGCCCGGCAUGCAGCGGCGCUUCCCGCUCGGGUGCACAGGAAGGCACAGGACACAGCACCAGGUUGCAGAGAUCCAGCUGAAGAGGGAAACAUUCAGAAGAUGGGGCACUACUAUAGGGUAUGCAGGUGAGAGUCAGUUUGCUCAGUAAACAGGCCCUGGCCAUCAAACAGAAGAUCCUAAAUGGUGGGUUGCACUUCAGGUGGGAGGCCGGAUGUCUGGAGCCAUGCGUUCCGACACAUGGCAAUGCCGGAGGCCAAAGUGCAAGCUGCCGCGUCUGCAGUGUCAAGGGAGCUCUGGAGGGAGGUUCAGGCUACCAGCUUACCCUCCUCAGCAAUGGCCCCAAUUCUUUGUGGGACUCAGAUGGGAGGAGUUCCUGGAACUGAAGGAUCGCAGACCACGAAUUAUAAAACUAUAUCUGCUGAGAACCGCAAGCUGGUUCACAAUUCAA
Molecule: long non-coding RNA, 805 nt
Organism: Gopherus flavomarginatus (Mexican gopher tortoise)
Lineage: Eukaryota; Metazoa; Chordata; Testudines; Testudinidae
Exons: 3
Source: RefSeq, a predicted model, not a curated record